UUUCUAUCUACACAUCCAGCAGACACGUGCAAAAUUAGCGUUCAUUAGGAGACAUUUUUCUGUUCACCUUAUGAAUGGAACAAAAAUACACGGCAGAUAUGAGCAGCAAGCGAACCCAAUUUCUCGAAAAAGGUCAACCUCCUUGAACAUCACUACAUCGACAUGAAAAGAAAACCCUGGCAGAGAUGCUGCACUGCAUCCCAACGGAUUAGUGAUGGGGUAACCACUGACAGGAAGACUGUAGAGGAGUGGAGAGGGGAGAAGAGAGAAGAGAGGAAAAGG
This is a long non-coding RNA of Thunnus maccoyii (southern bluefin tuna), 282 nucleotides long. RefSeq lists it as uncharacterized. Lineage: Eukaryota; Metazoa; Chordata; Actinopteri; Scombriformes; Scombridae. The transcript has 3 exons. The record is from RefSeq and is a predicted model, not a curated record.